UGCCUAACACAUGCAAGUCGAACGAGAAAGUCCCCGCAAGGGGAUGAGUAAAGUGGCGACCGGGUGAGUAACACGUGACUAACCUACCUUGGAGUGGGGGAUAACCUCGGGAAACCGGGGCUAAUACCGCAUAAAACCGCGUGGCUGAAAUGCCGUGCGGUCAAAGGAGCAAUUCGCUCUUGGAGGGGGUCGCGGGUGAUUAGCUAGUUGGCGGGGUAACGGCCCACCAAGGCGAUGAUCAGUAGCCGGCCUGAGAGGGCGCACGGCCACACUGGAACUGAAACACGGUCCAGACUCCUACGGGAGGCAGCAGUGGGGAAUUUUGCGCAAUGGGGGAAACCCUGACGCAGCAACGCCGCGCGGAGGUGAAGUCCCUUGGGACGUAAACUCC
RNAcentral lists this ribosomal RNA (391 nucleotides) under uncultured organism. RNAcentral describes it as "bacterial SSU rRNA". It matches the Rfam family "Bacterial small subunit ribosomal RNA", at positions 45 to 433 of the family's 1533-position model. The record is from RNAcentral.